AUGAAAACACUACAGUUGGGCACAUACCGAAACAGAACCAAAUAUAACUGUUUACAUUGGCAUUCCAUUUUCCUGGACUUAGGAACACAGGAUGGCACCUACCUUCUCCCAUCUGGGCAUCCCACAGCUGAGACCAUGCCCAGUCUUGAAAUGGCUGGUGACCCUCCUUCAACAACAGACGUAACAUCAGCAAUUUUAGGCUGAAGGACACGAAGGACUGCUCUGAGUCAUCUCCUGUCAAGGGUCAAAGGACUGCACAAGAAGAAAUUCCCACCCAAGAUUUAUGGAUUACAAAAAUGCUGGACAUGGUAGAGAUGGACACACAGACUAGGUUUAUACAAUCGCCAGAUCCUUCCAAAUUUGAAGAACAAUGAAGGCAGCUCUUUAUUGAUUAUUUAAAAGAAGAAAAGAAAAUCAAAACAUUGGGUUUUCUAUAGCAUCUAGGGGAAAUUAGUAGAACAGGGAUGUAGGAAUAACAAGAAAAGAAAAAUAGAGAAGUUAGUGACAAGACUUACAGGAUCCUCAAUGAUAUCCAAGGGAUCCUGGAAAGGUAAUCUGCCAGAGAUGAGAGGUUUUAUGACAAAAAGAAUAGAUUUUUUGAUUAAGAAGGAUACAGCAGAGACAGGAUAGGAAGCAUUAGUUAGGGGUUUCUAUUUUCCAGUUCUCAAUUUUUCUAUCCCCUUUGUUUCAAAACACUGUACACCCGCUUUUCUAUCCUUCUGUUUUAGAUUAGAAAAAGAAAGUUCCUUUUUUUCCUUUUUUUCCUCUUUUCUUUUUUAACAUUGUAGAAACCCUUUUUGUAUUAAAUAACAAUGGAAGAAUCUGCGGGGCAGCAGAGUGAUCUUGUCGCCCAUCGCCCUACCCACCCUUCCCUAUUCCCCAUGUUCAGAGGAAAGCAUCCCACCAUGUUGUCAGGAUGCUUCCUCCACAGAAAGUAUCCAUAAGUCAUGUGGUGGCAUCUGGUGGGCUCCAAGGAGAAAGCAUCCUGACAGCAUGUGAUGAGGUCAUAAACCUACUUUUGUACCCUUCCCUAUCCCUCAUAUAUUUGCAAUAAAAAUUAUAUGGGGAAAAGGACUGCAUUAGGUAGGGAAUCACUUUUUGAGAGUACAUUCAUUUCCUGUGACUAAACAAGGGUGAAAUUUAGAUUUUGCAAUCUGUGGCACAUACUUGGCUUAGACAUUCAUUUUGCUGCUAUAAUCAUCACCAUUACCAACAGCUCCAGACACUUGGUAAGAUGACAAGUUAAAUUGUCACAGAAGUUCAACUGUAUUUAAUAGCUAUUUUAAAAUAACUGUGUGGGUUUUCCUCUCAAACAAUUGCAAGUUAAGAAAUAUAAUAAAAUUGUGGCAGCUUUAAAAAGCCAAAGCAAUUCUAGGUUGCUUCAAUGAACGAUCAAGGGAAGUCAAAGUACCACUCUAUUCUACUUUGGUCUGACCUUACUUGGAAUAUUAUGUUUGGUUCUGGUCACCACGAUCCAUAAAGGAUAUUGACAAGCUGGAAUGUGGAAGCUAUUCCCUACAAAGCAUAGCUGAGAGAGCAGGAUAUCUUUAGCUUGGAGAAGAGAAGGUCAAGAGGUGAAAGUAGACAUGUUUAAAUAUUUGAAAGAGUGUCAUACCUAAAAUUGAGCAGGCUUGUUUUCUGCUACUCCAGAAACAACACUUUAUUGCACUAACUUGCUAUUAAACCUGUAGUUGUGUCGGGAUAGAUAGUGGCUACAUGCUGCAUAAAGUUCCUUUGAUAUUGCACUUCUUUCAUUAGCAUAAUUGCACUGAUUCACCAGUCCAUGGCCCCAUGAACACACUUCUAAAUACACUGGUAACUUCGUUUUCCUGCACUAUUAUGGUUCCUUUAUUUUGAAUUUUUGAAUUAAUAUUUUUAAAUGAUCAUAACUUGAGUCCCAUACUAUAGAUCUC
This 1913-nucleotide long non-coding RNA is filed under the name Anolis carolinensis (green anole). RNAcentral's name for it is "lncRNA (ENSACAG00000035986.1)". Lineage: Eukaryota; Metazoa; Chordata; Lepidosauria; Squamata; Anolidae. The record is from RNAcentral.